This 233-nucleotide unclassified non-coding RNA is filed under the name Hevea brasiliensis (rubber tree). The record is from RNAcentral. Lineage: Eukaryota; Viridiplantae; Streptophyta; Magnoliopsida; Malpighiales; Euphorbiaceae.
AUUUUCCACCGCAUUUUGAAGAUCUAGCUGAACCCGAUCCUUUUCAGCAUAUGCCAACGUGAUUUCCUUUUCAGCCUCCUUCAGCGCUUCCUCAAGAGCUGUAAUUUGGUCAGAGUCCACAGCAGCCGCUAGCUCUGCUUCCUUCUUCUGUAGAAGUGCAUGAGCACGAACCUUGUAUGAAGAAAAUUCACUUUCAAGGCGAUUCAUCUCCUCUUUGACAGUCUGUAGUUCAG